CGGUCCAGACUCCUACGGGAGGCAGCAGUGGGGAAUAUUGGGCAAUGGGGGAAACCCUGACCCAGCGACGCCGCGUGAGUGAAGAAAUCCCUCGGGAUGUAAAACUCUGUUGUGUGGGAAGAUAAUGACGGUACCACACGAGGAAGCCCCGGCAAACUACGUGCCAGCAGCCGCAGUAA
This 179-nucleotide ribosomal RNA is filed under the name uncultured bacterium. RNAcentral describes it as "partial 16S ribosomal RNA". It matches the Rfam family "Bacterial small subunit ribosomal RNA", at positions 327 to 523 of the family's 1533-position model. The record is from RNAcentral.